Molecule: long non-coding RNA, 1691 nt
Organism: Oxyura jamaicensis (ruddy duck)
Lineage: Eukaryota; Metazoa; Chordata; Aves; Anseriformes; Anatidae
Exons: 2
Source: RefSeq, a predicted model, not a curated record
CAGACCUGUUUUCUGUGAUUCCCCAUGCUAAGACACUUCUGUAGAUGUGAAAUAUGCCUUUACAUACCGUAUUUCCGUUGUAUUCUACGGGCACAACCCUUACCUCUGAUAAUUUAUCUUCUUCCCAAAGCCAAUUCUGUUUCAUUAAGUGUAAUGACAGUUUAAUGCACAUUUCUCCACCCUGUUUACAGUAUUUUCAUUCAUCUGUAACUCUGCAGUGCUGGGACAUAGAGCUCUCCUUUUAAUCUGCAGUUCAAAGCUCUGCCUAAAUCUGUCAAUAUCGCAAAGGUGAAGGGUAGAGCUGAUCACCUAACAGUGACGGUUGUUACAUGUUGUUAGUUGAAAUUGGAAAUGAAAGCCAAGAAGAAACGUAAGAAAAAGCUGUGGCACAGCCAAAUGGGAAAGAAGCAAUCCACGAGAUGUUUUCUGCAAUGACUGUGAUGCAUGGCCACAUGGUCAAGGGCAGCACCACAGACAACGGGGAAAUGCAACAUGACCCUGUUUUUCUCAUCCACAACUGCGUAGGACUGAACCCAGGGAUUCAACAGGUCAUCUUCAGUCAUACGCUCUCACUUCACAGUGACAUACAAAAAGGCAGACUACUUCAAGCAUAAAAUCUCUCAAAAUGGUACUUCAAAGGAUUAUUCUACAAAUUGGUAGGGACGUGCUCAAAAGGUACAAGUGCAGAAUGGCUGAGCUGAGAGAAAGGACAAGCACAUGGCAAUGUGGCACUACCUUCUGCUUCUGCAGUGGGAAAUGAUGCAGCCUUGAAGGAAUUUCCAGGACAUAUGUUCCAGCUGCAUCUGCCUCCUUGUCCUCCCUCUGUUUCCCUGUCUUCCGUUUCAGAAUUUUGUUCCAGACUUCAAUCCAGUCCAACACACUGCUAAUCUCCUCUUUAAUAUCCUCUGUGCUUUAAAGCAGUAGUUCUGAGACCUUCUCAGAAGAUAGGGAAAUACCAUAAGCCCCAUUUUACAAAUGGGAAACAGCAGCUGAAGCACAAGCAGAAGUAAUCUGCUGCAGAACUGGGAUUUCAAUGCAUUUCUAAGAAUGGAGUGAUUCAAGCAGUAAGCACAAAGUUACCUUUCAUCUUGGAAUUCUACUGUCUGGACUCCUGCCCUAUCUAUAGUGAAAAGGAUGUAAGGUAAUCUUUAGACUUUUAAGGAUAUGAAUCUUCUGAGGUUCAAACAUAUCUCCAUUUGAAAUGUAGGCUAUCAGCAUCCCCAUUUUUUUGUUUGUUUGUUUGUUUUGUUUUGUUUACUAAAUUAGGAUCAGUCACAGAAUGCAAGUUUUUAUUAAUUUUGCAUUAGAUCACCUCCUCUUGUAAGGUUUUGUUACUUGCACUUCAGAAAAUAUCAGCUGGUCAUAACGGUUACUCAUUCUUCUUCAUGGCGAUGGUUGUAAUACGGGAUUCUACAUUUUCAUCUAUUUUGUCUGCAAUGGAGAACAGUGAGAUAUUUGAGAUCAACAGUAGUUGUUUCCCAGAUGUUACGAAUAUCUAAAUCUUCUUUAAGUCAUUUUCUAAGUACCUAGAGCAUUUAUAACUGCAUGGGUAAGAGAACAGGAGUAUAGCAUUGGACAAGAGACUAGGACCAAACCGGUACAAAAUAAACUGAAAUGGAUACUUUAUUAUGAGUAAAUGAAGCUGACAUAAAAUUUUGAAAAGCAAAGGUAGCAUUGGGAAAACCUAUGAC